CGAGAGGCCCAAACGUUAUUCGGAAUUACUGGGCUUAAAGAGUUCGUAGGCGGCAUGAAAAGUAGGGUGUGAAAGCCCUCGGCUCAACCGAGGAAUUGCGCUCUAAACUGUCGUGCUAGAGGAAGCUAGAGGUGAGCAGAACAGAUGGUGGAGCGGUGAAAUGCGUUGAUAUCAUCUGGAAUACCGGAGGCGAAGGCGGCUCACUGGGGCUUUUCUGACGCUGAGGAACGAAAGCCAGGGUAGCGAACGGGAUUAGAUACCCCGGUAGUCCUGGCCGUAAACGAUGAGCACUAGGCCGGAGGGCUGCACAGCUUUUCGGCCGUAGCUAAAGUGUUAAGUGCUCCGCCUGGGGAGUAUGGUCGCAAGGCUG
RNAcentral lists this ribosomal RNA (370 nucleotides) under uncultured organism. RNAcentral describes it as "bacterial SSU rRNA". It matches the Rfam family "Bacterial small subunit ribosomal RNA", at positions 526 to 896 of the family's 1533-position model. The record is from RNAcentral.